RNAcentral lists this ribosomal RNA (433 nucleotides) under uncultured bacterium. RNAcentral describes it as "partial 16S ribosomal RNA". It matches the Rfam family "Bacterial small subunit ribosomal RNA", at positions 29 to 507 of the family's 1533-position model. The record is from RNAcentral.
AACGAACGCUGGCGGCAUGCCUAACACAUGCAAGUCGAACGAGACCUUCGGGUCUAGUGGCGCACGGGUGCGUAACGCGUGGGAACCUGCCCUUAGGUUCGGAAUAACUCCCCGAAAGGGGUGCUAAUACCGGAUAAUGUCUUCGGACCAAAGAUUUAUCGCCUUUGGAUGGGCCCGCGUUGGAUUAGCUAGUUGGUAGGGUAAAAGCCUACCAAGGCGAGGAUCAAUAGCUGGUCUGAGAGGAUGAUCAGCCACACUGGGACUGAGACACGGCCGAGAAUCCUACGGGAGGCAGCAGAGGGGAAUAGUGGAACAUGGGGGAAGGCAUGAACCAGCAAGGCCGCGUGAGUGAUGAAGGCAUUAGGGUUGUAAAGCUCUUUUACCCGGGAUGAUAAUGACAGUACCGGGAGAAUAAGCUCCGGCUAACUACGUG